Molecule: long non-coding RNA, 3079 nt
Organism: Peromyscus californicus insignis
Lineage: Eukaryota; Metazoa; Chordata; Mammalia; Rodentia; Cricetidae
Exons: 3
Source: RefSeq, a predicted model, not a curated record
UCAGUGACAAAGCCUACCUGUUCCAGUGGAAAGUCCUGCUCUAAGCCUUGAGUUCAACUACAGCAGAAACAACCUAUGAAACAUUCUUGGCCACAGGUAUUGAAAAGCUCUUCUGGUCCUGGGAGGAGAUGGAUUGGGAAAGAUCUCUGCCCUCAGAACCCCUGAAAGGCUGAGGAGGAGGCGGCCAGUAUGGGGAGCGUUGGUCCAGCUUCCCAUGUGUAAUGUUGGGAAAGGGCUGCCCAGAAAUGCAAAAAUGGCAGCCUAGUGUGGUUUCUGAGAACCUCCACAGGCUAUCCGAUACCUGAUAGGGACCUUGAUGAAGCCUUGGGGGAGGAGUCUGAGGAGCUGUGCAAAAGUCAAGGGUGAGACCCAGCUCAAUAAUACUCAGUAGAAACCCUAGUCGGGAGACCACUGUAGCACUGCAGUGGGGUGGGGGGACUGAGGAGGAGGGGCUCCCUGGAGAACAGCAGGAAAACCAACACAAAAGAGGCCACCCUCCCCACGUCCAGAUGUCACUGUGGCUUCUUCCUGGUGCCUAGUCACCACCUCAACAAGAAAGACGGGGAGCAAACUGCUUUAAGCUAUACAGUGAUCGAAAUAUUCCUUGAAUCAGGCCCAAAGGAAACAGAAUCCUACGACUAAGUAUACCAAAAAGGAAGCCAAAACACUCUAUCUGGGAGGCAAAAUUAAGUUCACGUUAAAACAAAACAAACAACAAAAAACAAAAAAAAAAAACAACAAAGUUGUAUCCCUUCACAAUAAGCCAGCAGCAGGAAAUGUAUCUAUUCUGAUUCGGAUGCUUCCACUGAGUCUCUGUACAACACAAACAGUAUUUCUAAGACUAUCUGCCUGGGCUGACUUCCAAGGGGAAGGCACAGAGUCUCAAGCUUGCCAAGUCAAAUGCGGGCCUACCAGGCGGUCCCAGAAAACUUAGCCCACAGGAGGGCCCCCAGGCCUUCCCACAUAGUCUCACGUUGUAGCUGAGAAGCUCUGAGAGCUGGCUGCUACGUACCAUUCCGGCUGCUGUAACAAAGUACUAGAGACUGUGUGGCUUAUAAACAACAGAAGUUUGUUGCUCACAGUUCUGGAAGUCUAAGAUCCAAGCAUCGGCUGAUCUGGUAACCAGUGAGGAUUGUUUCCUGACUCACAGAUGGUACCUCACUGUGUUCUCACACAGCCAAAGGAGGGGAGACACGCUCUAACCCCAUGUAGAAGGUACCAUAUCAUAAAACCAUCACCAUGGAGGUUAGGCUUUCAGUACAGGACUCUGGGAGCGCGCGCGCGCGCGCACACACACACACACACACACACACACACACACACACACACACGCUCAGAGUACUAUCAUUUCUCUCAUUCUCCAUAAGGGCAAACCAAGACUUCACAGCAAGAUUUGAUAAGGCCCAAGGAACCACGCUGAGUGGUGAUGCACCUAGUUCAACUAUCCUAACAGAGAGCCUACCCUGUGCCAAAUCUCAUGCACUUGCCAGGGGCUGCGAGAUGGAUACUACACUUACUGGAUAUUACACUGAUUCAAUACAUGGGAAGGACUGCUGGAGAGGCAGAGCAAACCUACAACAUCAGUUAGUCAAAGACAAAUGUCUCCAGGGUUACCAAAAAAAAAAAAAAAUCAAUGAUGUUACUAGGAAUGUUUCAUGCAACAUUUUGAAGCAUUAAAUAUGAAAAUCCAUGAGGUACAAAGUACCUCAAUUUUAAGUAAAGACAGGACCAGUCUCCCUGAUUUCUCACUCUUGUCUCAUGCUCCAAGACAAGGAAUUGCACAACGCUAGGACUGAGCCUGGAAUCCAGCCCAACUCGAGGCAGGGAAGGCAUCUUCACACCACCCCACGGAGCUGUCUCUCCACCAUUUUAUAACCUCAAAGAGCUCUUGAGGUGGCCCCAGUCCUCAGUCAUCUCAGGUGUGUGUCUGCAUGACUAAGCUCCCAAGGAACACCAGCCUGGGGAGAUUCUAUUUCGUCGUUGCUAUGUGUUUAGGUAAAUGGAAGGAAGUUCCAGCCUCCGCCAAAGGAGGGGCAUACUUUAAAAUAGUUCUGGAAGGCGCCAGGUGGGCUCCCAAUGGAUCACACGGGUGCUUGUCUCUCACUUGGAUUUUCUGGUUCAGUUCUGACGCGAUGCCAACUGUCCACCUGCAGGCCACAAGUCCAGUCACACCGCGGUCUUCCUUUCCCCUUGCAUUUCAAAAGCCAAAUGCGAGCUCAUUUGGGCAAUUACUUAAGACUCUCAGCACAUGUACACCUUUCACUGGAAGCGAAAUGACUGCUCAACAAAUAUUUGUUGAUUCAAAUUUUGAACAUUGCUAAGAUUAAACUCAGAAUCCCUUCUGGUGGCCUGUAACCUAAACCCCAGACCUGUUAAAUAAACCAUGACCCGAAGCAUAAGGAAGACAAUGUGUCCACUCGUCUCCCUCACCGUGGCCUUUGGAGACAGACACGAUUAUGCCCUGUACUAAGAAUUGAACCGCACGCAGCAAGCCCUUCUCCCCCCUGCCUCUGUUUUCUUAGUGUUAAAACUGGUUAAACUGCUCGGCUCUGCCUCACAUUUCAAAGUUAAGUCCAGCAAAGUGCUCAGAGGAAAACUUCGGGCACUUGCGCGUCUGGCUCCUCUCGGCCCCACCGGCCACGGUGUCGUGGACGUGGCCCCCACGGGGGAGGGAGGUUGGCGUGGGCCCCAGGUCCGAAGAGCCCGGGCUGUCUGGGCUCUGCCCGUCACCACCUCCCCAGCUCCAUGUGGGGACAAGACUUGGGGAACACACCAAGCCCCCGGCCCCGACUCCCUCCAACCCUGCGGGGUCUGCGCCCCACGCGCGCCGCGUGGCCACGCCAUUUCAGACCGUCCCAGAUGGACCCAACAUGAUGAGAAAGAAGAGGAGACCACCAGCAAUAUCAACCCCAGAGGUCACUGCUGCUGCUGUUUCGUUGAUGUAAGUUCUCAGCUCCUGCUCCAGCGCCAUGCCUGCCUGUCUGAUGCCAUGGUCCCUGCCACGACAGUCAUGGACUCUAAUCCUCUGAAAAUGUAAGCCCCAAUAAACUCUUUCUUCUAUAAGUUGCCUUGGUCAUGG